RNAcentral lists this ribosomal RNA (379 nucleotides) under uncultured cyanobacterium. RNAcentral describes it as "bacterial SSU rRNA". It matches the Rfam family "Bacterial small subunit ribosomal RNA", at positions 376 to 770 of the family's 1533-position model. Lineage: Bacteria; Bacillati; Cyanobacteriota. The record is from RNAcentral.
CGAAAGCCUGACGGAGCAACGCCGCGUGUGGGAAGAAGGCUCUUGGGCUGUCAACCACUUUUCUCAGGGAAGAAGACCUGACGGUACCUGAGGAAAAAGCCUCGGCUAACUCCGUGCCAGCAGCCGCGGUAAUACGGAGGAGGCAAGCGUUAUCCGGAAUUACUGGGCGUAAAGCGUUCGUAGGGGGCUCGUCAAGUCUGCUGCCAAAGACCGGAGCUCAACUCCGGGCAGGCAGUGGAAACUGGGGAGCUAGAGGGCGGCAGGGGCAGAAGGAAUUCCCAGUGUAGCGGUGAAAUGCGUAGAGAUUGGGAAGAACACCGGUGGCGAAAGCGCUCUACUGGGUCGCACCUGACCCUCAGGGACGAAAGCUAAGGGAGCG